Molecule: ribosomal RNA, 495 nt
Filed under: uncultured bacterium
Lineage: Bacteria
Description: partial 16S ribosomal RNA
Rfam family: Bacterial small subunit ribosomal RNA
Source: RNAcentral
GACGAACGCUGGCGGCGUGCCUAAUACAUGCAAGUAGAACGCUGAAGGAGGAGCUUGCUCUUCUGGAUGAGUUGCGAACGGGUGAGUAACGCGUAGGUAACCUGCCUGGUAGCGGGGGAUAACUAUUGGAAACGAUAGCUAAUACCGCAUAAGAGUAGAUGUUGCAUGACAUUUGCUUAAAAGGUGCAAUUGCAUCACUACCAGAUGGACCUGCGUUGUAUUAGCUAGUUGGUGGGGUAACGGCUCACCAAGGCGACGAUACAUAGCCGACCUGAGAGGGUGCUCGGCCACACUGGGACUGAGACACGGCCCAGACUCCUACGGGAGGCAGCAGUAGGGAAUCUUCGGCAAUGGACGGAAGUCUGACCGAGCAACGCCGCGUGAGUGCAGAAGGUUUUCGGAUCGUAAAGCUCGGUUGUAAGAGAAGAACGAGUGUGAGAGUGGAAAGUUCACACUGUGACGGUAUCUUACCAGAAAGGGACGGCUAACUACGUG